GACGAACGCUGGCGGCGUGCCUAAUACAUGCCAGUAGAACGCUGAAGGAGGAGCUUGCUUCUCUGGAUGAGUUGCGAACGGGGGAGUAACGCGUAGGUAACCUGCCUGGUAGCGGGGGAUAACUAUUGGAAACGAUAGCUAAUACCGCAUAAUAGUAGAUGUUGCAUGACAUUUGCUUAAAAGGUGCAAUUGCAUCACUACCAGAUGGACCUGCGUUGUAUUAGCUAGUUGGUGAGGUAACGGCUCACCAAGGCGACGAUACAUAGCCGACCUGAGAGGGUGAUCGGCCACACUGGGACUGAGACACGGCCCAGACUCCUACGGGAGGCAGCAGUAGGGAAUCUUCGGCAAUGGACGGAAGUCUGACCGAGCAACGCCGCGUGAGUGAAGAAGGUUUUCGGAUCGUAAAGCUCUGUUGUAAGAGAAGAACGAGUGUGAGAGUGGAAAGUUCACACUGUGACGGUAUCUUACCAGAAAGGGACGGCUAACUACGUG
This 495-nucleotide ribosomal RNA is filed under the name uncultured bacterium. Its description in RNAcentral is "partial 16S ribosomal RNA". It matches the Rfam family "Bacterial small subunit ribosomal RNA", at positions 28 to 507 of the family's 1533-position model. The record is from RNAcentral.